RNAcentral lists this ribosomal RNA (336 nucleotides) under Triticum aestivum (bread wheat). Its description in RNAcentral is "partial small subunit ribosomal RNA". The record is from RNAcentral. Lineage: Eukaryota; Viridiplantae; Streptophyta; Magnoliopsida; Poales; Poaceae.
AUGGGCAGAUGCCUCUCUUUUCUACUCCUCCUGGGCGUCGCGCUUGCGCUCGCCGGCCCGGCUAACGGCGACAUAUCGGCGGGGUUCGCCGCUUCAGGGGCAGCAUACAGCAUCGACGCCGCGGUGCGGCAGCUGAUGUCGCCAUCGUCGAUGAAGCUGGAGGACGGCGUGGACCCUGAGCUUAGUAUCGACCUGGAGGUGCACCGCCGCGUCCUCGCCGGCAUCAGCCCCGGUGCCCUGAACCGCAACAGGCCCGCCUGCCCCGGCGCGUGCCCGGCGCCAGGAGGAUCGUACACCAACCGGGGAUGCCAGAAGAAGUACCAGUGCCGUGGCUGA